UACGGAGGAUGCAAGCGUUAUCCGGAUUCAUUGGGUUUAAAGGGUGCGCAGGCGGAAUGAUAAGUCAGUGGUGAAAUCCUACAGCUUAACUGUAGAACUGCCAUUGAUACUAUUGUUCUUGAGUACAUUUGAAGUGGGCGGAAUGUGUCAUGUAGCGGUGAAAUGCUUAGAUAUGACACAGAACACCGAUCGCGAAGGCAGCUCACUAAGUUGUAACUGACGCUCAUGCACGAAAGCGUGGGGAU
RNAcentral lists this ribosomal RNA (245 nucleotides) under uncultured bacterium. RNAcentral describes it as "partial 16S ribosomal RNA". It matches the Rfam family "Bacterial small subunit ribosomal RNA", at positions 524 to 768 of the family's 1533-position model. The record is from RNAcentral.